GCAAGUCGAACGAUGAACUUGGAGCUUGCUCUGGGGGAUUAGUGGCGAACGGGUGAGUAACACGUGAGUAACCUGCCCUGGACUCUGGGAUAACCCCGAGAAAUCGGAGCUAAUACCGGAUAGGACCUGGAACCGCAUGGUUUUGGGUGGAAAGUUUUUUCGGUCUGGGAUGGACUCGCGGCCUAUCAGCUUGUUGGUGAGGUAAUGGCUCACCAAGGCGUCGACGGGUAGCCGGCCUGAGAGGGUGACCGGCCACACUGGGACUGAGACACGGCCCAGACUCCUACGGGAGGCAGCAGUGGGGAAUAUUGCACAAUGGGCGAAAGCCUGAUGCAGCAACGCCGCGUGAGGGAUGACGGCCUUCGGGUUGUAAACCUCUUUUAGUAGGGAAGAAGGGCUUCGGCUUGACGGUACCUGCAGAAAAAGCACCGGCUAACUACGUGCCAGCAGCCGCGGUAAUACGUAGGGUGCGAGCGUUGUCCGGAAUUAUUGGGCGUAAAGAGCUCGUAGGCGGUUUGUCACGUCUGCUGUGAAAUCCCGAGGCUCAACCUCGGGCCUGCAGUGGGUACGGGCAGACUGGAGUGCGGUAGGGGAGAUUGGAAUUCCUGGUGUAGCGGUGGAAUGCGCAGAUAUCAGGAGGAACACCGAUGGCGAAGGCAGAUCUCUGGGCCGUAACUGACGCUGAUGAGCGAAAGCGUGGGGAGCGAACAGGAUUAGAUACCCUGGUAGUCCACGCCGUAAACGUUGGGCGCUAGAUGUGGGGGACCAUUCCACGGUUUCCGU
Molecule: ribosomal RNA, 783 nt
Filed under: Agromyces sp. LKS-179
Lineage: Bacteria; Bacillati; Actinomycetota; Actinomycetes; Micrococcales; Microbacteriaceae
Description: bacterial SSU rRNA
Rfam family: Bacterial small subunit ribosomal RNA
Source: RNAcentral